UACGUAGGGUGCAAGCGUUAAUCGGAAUUACUGGGCGUAAAGCGUGCGCAGGCGGUUAUGUAAGACAGGUGUGAAAUGCCCGGGCUUAACCUGGGAACUGCAUUUGUGACUGCAUGGCUAGAGUUUGGCAGAGGGGGGUAGAAUUCCACGUGUAGCAGUGAAAUGCGUAGAUAUGUGGAGGAACACCGAUGGCGAAGGCAGCCCCCUGGGUCAAGACUGACGCUCAUGCACGAAAGCGUGGGGAGCAAACAGG
Molecule: ribosomal RNA, 253 nt
Filed under: uncultured bacterium
Lineage: Bacteria
Description: partial 16S ribosomal RNA
Rfam family: Bacterial small subunit ribosomal RNA
Source: RNAcentral